UACGUAGGGGGCUAGCGUUGUCCGGAAUCAUUGGGCGUAAAGCGCGUGUAGGCGGCCCGAUAAGUCCGCUGUGAAAGUCCAGGGCUCAACCCUGGGAUGCCGGUGGAUACUGUCAGGCUCGAGUCCGGAAGAGGCGAGUGGAAUUCCUGGUGUAGCGGUGAAAUGCGCAGAUAUCAGGAGGAACACCAAUGGCGAAGGCAGCUCGCUGGGACGUGACUGACGCUGAGACGCGAAAGCGUGGGGAGCAAACAGG
RNAcentral lists this ribosomal RNA (253 nucleotides) under uncultured bacterium. RNAcentral describes it as "partial 16S ribosomal RNA". It matches the Rfam family "Bacterial small subunit ribosomal RNA", at positions 524 to 776 of the family's 1533-position model. The record is from RNAcentral.